Molecule: ribosomal RNA, 433 nt
Filed under: uncultured bacterium
Lineage: Bacteria
Description: partial 16S ribosomal RNA
Rfam family: Bacterial small subunit ribosomal RNA
Source: RNAcentral
AACGAACGCUGGCGGCAUGCCUAACACAUGCAAGUCGAACGAAAACUUCGGGUCUAGUGGCGCACGGGUGCGUAACGCGGGGGAACCUGCCCGUAGGUUCGGAAUAACUCACCUAAAGAGAUCCUCAUACCGGUUAAUCUCUUCGGGCCAAAGAUUUAUCGCGUUGGGGUGGGCCCUCGUUGGAUUCGCUGGUUGGUAGUGGACAAGCCUAGCAACGCGACGAUCCAUAGCUGGUCUGAGAGCAGGAUACACCGCACUGGGCCUGCGACACAGCCCAGAAUCGUACGGAAGGGAGCAGUGUAUAAUAUUAGACAAUGGACGAAAGCCUGACCAAGCAAUGCCGGGGGAGUGAUGAAGGCGUUAGGGAUGUAAAGCUGUUUUACACGAGAUGAUAAUGACGGUACCGGGUGAAUAAGCACCGGCUAACUACGUG